UGGGGUGGACAUGUCGAGAGGAGGAAAUUGGGGAUACAGGGCGCAUGAUAGAGUGGAGAGGGAGUUCUUGUAGGUUGGGCUAGGAAUUGGGCCUUUCUGAACUUUUUUUUUAGAAAUAUCGUAAGAAAAGAAAGAAACUUUUACACCCAAAUCUCUCCCAUCUCUUUCCGGACCAACCACUAGUUCUUUAUGUUGGUCAACAACCACAGCUAAACAAAGUUCUUCACUACUCUUACAGGAAGGACUCUCUUUCUGGAAAAA
RNAcentral lists this long non-coding RNA (261 nucleotides) under Linum usitatissimum (flax). RNAcentral's name for it is "long non-coding RNA (LUSI_LNC007286)". Lineage: Eukaryota; Viridiplantae; Streptophyta; Magnoliopsida; Malpighiales; Linaceae. The record is from RNAcentral.